Molecule: long non-coding RNA, 181 nt
Organism: Leguminivora glycinivorella
Lineage: Eukaryota; Metazoa; Arthropoda; Insecta; Lepidoptera; Tortricidae
Exons: 3
Source: RefSeq, a predicted model, not a curated record
UGAUAGGAUAUUAUGCAGUGAAUAGCCUGCGCAAAGAGUGCAUUUAGUGAAGAAUUCUUUUGGAGAUACGAAUAACCAAUUCUACGGACAUCACUCGGCAGUUCGUGGUCCCGGCCGCCAUCAUGCUUAGUACUGCUGCUCCAGCUAUCCUCCAGUGCAUCGCGAAGGCCUCGUUCGCAAA